AGGACCCAGGGAUAUCUUUCUCAAGGACCUGAAAAACCAACUCUUUGAAAUGCAAAUACCAAGGAAUGUGAUGCUCCAUCUCCCAAUUUCUGUGUGAGGGACAAGGUAUCAUUCAGCCAUCCAAGGAAUAAAGAAUCCACUUGUCCUAGAACACGGCUGAAGUAUGAAAACACGUGGCUGAGUGACAGACGCCACAGAGAAAAAUGGUCCCAUAUUGUGAUGACACCAUGGACAUGGAACGUCUGGAAGAGGGAAAUCCACAGACACAGAAAGCAGCUGACGUGCUGGCGUGCUGGCGACCGUUAAUCAAGUCAAAUGCAAAGCCACCUACACGGGGGUGCCAUCCUCCAGGCCCAUCCCCACCUGGACCCCCUGUGGAAUCCAGCUCCUGCCUGUCGGCCACAUCCUUCCUAACCACCCGACCCACCUCGGGGUCCCCUUGUUCCUCUCGUUGUCCGCACCGGCUGUGACCCGGGCACACAGGUCUGCAUUAUGCGUGCACAUCUCCCGCUUAUAGAUCUCUCCUGCCCAUGACAGGGACGCUGCUAAUAGCUGGCUGCCCCUCCACCCACCAAGACCCUAUUUCCAAAUAAGGUCCUGUGGGGAGGUUCCAGGAGUUAGGACUUGAAAACUGGGGGGGUCCCAGCUGAACCCACACAACGGGAGGGCGCAUUACACACAUGGAUGUAGGGACAGUAAUUGUAAGCAUCUAUGCUCUUAAGAUACACCAUGCUUGGUGUGAAAAGGCAGGUAGAUGUGCGUUAAUAGCCGUAUCCGAAAUGUCUCAGCCCCCUUAUGUUCAUGGGAAGACUUGACCCCGGGACUCCCUGCAAGGCUCAUGCAGCAUCAGCAGCACGGAGGGUAAAUGAAAGCCAGGGUCCCCCCACUUCCUUGGUGCAGAGGCAGCCCGAUGCCCGGUCCGUGUCCCACCUCAACAUUUGGCUUCAGAGCAGCCUCCCUCCACGUCUAUGGGAUUCCGACUCCUGCCAUGGGUGGCUGUGACCCAUGGGAACAGGGCGUCCCAGUGGGUUCAUGACGAAGACGCCCGGGGGGGGGCGGGCCACAGGACCAGUGGGGGGAGCUUUCCUCAGGCUGUGCUCCUGUGGGAGCUGGUUUCCUCUACUCAGUUUCCAAGGCUUUUAUGCCUUAAUGACUCCGGCGGGGGGAAGGCAACUCGAUUGAAAAGAAAAGCAAGCAAACCACAAACACCAUUCACAAACCAAACAAGCUCCGGUGUUUUCUAAGAAGUUACUAGAAAGCUGUACGUUGGCUAAUCGAAUUUAAAUAAAUAAAAAU
This is a long non-coding RNA of Callorhinus ursinus (northern fur seal), 1296 nucleotides long. RefSeq lists it as uncharacterized. The record is from RefSeq and is a predicted model, not a curated record. Lineage: Eukaryota; Metazoa; Chordata; Mammalia; Carnivora; Otariidae.